UACGAAGGGGGCUAGCGUUGCUCGGAAUCACUGGGCGUAAAGCGCACGUAGGCGGCUUUCUAAGUCAGGGGUGAAAUCCCGGAGCUCAACUCCGGAACUGCCUUUGAUACAGGAAAGCUCGAGUUCGGGAGAGGUAAGUGGAACUGCGAGUGUAGAGGUGAAAUUCGUAGAUAUUCGCAAGAACACCAGUGGCGAAGGCGGCUCACUGGCCCGAUACUGACGCUGAGGUGCGAAAGCGUGGGGAGCAAACAGG
Molecule: ribosomal RNA, 253 nt
Filed under: uncultured bacterium
Lineage: Bacteria
Description: partial 16S ribosomal RNA
Rfam family: Bacterial small subunit ribosomal RNA
Source: RNAcentral